RNAcentral lists this transfer RNA (73 nucleotides) under Felis catus (domestic cat). It matches the Rfam family "tRNA". From Rfam's summary of the family: Transfer RNA (tRNA) molecules are approximately 80 nucleotides in length. The record is from Rfam by way of RNAcentral. Lineage: Eukaryota; Metazoa; Chordata; Mammalia; Carnivora; Felidae.
ACCCAGCUGGCUCAGUUGGUAGAGCACGUGACUCUUGAUCUCAGGGUCAUGAUUUCAAGCCCCAUGCUGGACG